Molecule: long non-coding RNA, 588 nt
Organism: Scylla paramamosain (green mud crab)
Lineage: Eukaryota; Metazoa; Arthropoda; Malacostraca; Decapoda; Portunidae
Exons: 3
Source: RefSeq, a predicted model, not a curated record
GUGACACUGGGCAGUAGCAGCUUGAGCAUGCUGUAGUGCAUGAGGAGACAGAGUCCAUCGGUGACUACAUCACCAUCUACCAGUUGCAGCGAGGAGUGAUGAAGCAACAAGCUCGAGAACGCGAGUUAGACCUUGCCAGCCUCCAUCAUGAAUGAGAGGAAAUGAAGCAAAACCACUCUGCAGUUGCUCUGAGUUGUAGCAGCAGUGACGUGUGGCACCCAGGAUGAAGGUGGUCUGCAGGGUGGUCUGUGUCAGGGGGAUGAUGGCAGACAACAGCAGCAGCACCGUGACAGCUCAAGCAUCCUGUUGAAAUUAUCACUUUUUAAAUGCUGAAAAGUGAAGGAAAAACCUGUCUCCAUGGAAUGUGGAAGUACACAACAACAACUCUGAAAGAUUUCUUACAAUAAUAAGUCAUCAUUCAUUGUAUCCUUUUUUGUUGGCCACAAGAUUAUCAUACAAAUUUUCCAUAGACAUCUGCAAAUUGGUACCUCUAGCUGUUAUUAAAUAUGAUAUUAAGUUUGAUGAAUGUAUUUAUUUCAUUAUACAUGAAAGUUGUUGAUUGCAAAAAAAAAUAAUAACCAAAAUAUA